CGCUUUGCCACGCGGGCCGGGGCGUGGCCCCACGUGUAUUUUUCUCGUUGUUUGGUAUAUUCAGCUGACCUCUUGACUGAGGAGCCGACGGCGGCGUGGCCGGAGAGUAACGGCCGGCUACCUGACUGUCAGGCCGACGGUCUGCCUCUAGCCGCGCUGACGGACCCAGUCAUGGCUUGGGGCUGUGGCGGUGACCGAUGGGUGUUGCGACCCUGGUUGACUGGGAGGAUGGAGGAGGAGUGCUGACGUGAAGCCGUCAGUGAACCAGUGAUGCUGUCUGAGGCUCCGUUCCCACCUGGCCGCCGGGCUGGUGGCCUGCCUCUGUCUUCCGAGCCAUGGUGGACUCUGGCGGAGAUAGGUGAUGCCUGCGACCUGGAGUACGGAUGAGCUGACGACCAUGGCGAAGGAGUCCUACCGUGAACACGAGGGAGAACGCGUGACUGAGCUGGGAUCAGAGGUGUGGCUGCGGAGGUGACUUCUGCGCUUGUGCUGCUCUGCGGACCACUGGAGCUGUGUGUACUUGGUUGUUGGGUGCUCAGCUGACCAUGGCAGCCUCCAUGAGUGUCGUGGCCGUACCACAGUGGAGUGGGUGAUGGCGGUGCGGCCACUGGUUGGGUGGUGUAGUGCCGGUCUGCUUGGCGGCUGACAUAUUUGGCCUGUUGCUGAUGAACUAAUCGACCUGCUGAUAGGUAAAGAGGGGAUGCCGCUGACGAACUGAACGCUCUGCUGUGCGGUGAACUGGAUGCGACGGGG
This is a long non-coding RNA of Amphibalanus amphitrite, 753 nucleotides long. RefSeq lists it as uncharacterized. The transcript has 2 exons. NCBI's taxonomy places the organism in Eukaryota, Metazoa, Arthropoda, Thecostraca, Balanomorpha, Balanidae. The record is from RefSeq and is a predicted model, not a curated record.